AUCUCCUGAGGGCCCUGGAGAGCCUGUGAAACCAUCUCCCAGCCCCAGAAGGAGAUCCUGGCACCAACAGGACCUGAGCUGAAAAAUCAAAAGGUGCAGAAUAUAAUCCAAUAACAGAUCCAGCUUAGAAAUCUCAACAGGUAAUGAGACUCGCAUCGACAAGAGCUGAAUUCUAUUCCAACAGAAUGCUGUGUGCAUAAUGUAUGAAGUUUUCAGAAAAACAGUCUUGAACAGACAAUUCGUCUGACCUUGGAUAAACCAGCGAUGAAAGGCACUACAACUCCCAUUUGCUGCCCCUGGAAGUACUUGAUCCAUUCUGCUCCUUAAGCUCCAAGUCCUACUUGGUCCAGGGACUCACUCCCCUGUGCUUCAGAGACUGAUGGAGCUAAAACUGCCACCCUUUCCUGGCACUCAAUCACAGUAGUCAUGUAUGGAUGUGACAGUUGGACCAUAAAGAAAGCUGAGCACCUAAGAAUUGAUG
Long non-coding RNA from Bubalus bubalis (water buffalo), 481 nucleotides. RefSeq lists it as uncharacterized. Lineage: Eukaryota; Metazoa; Chordata; Mammalia; Artiodactyla; Bovidae. The transcript has 4 exons. The record is from RefSeq and is a predicted model, not a curated record.